This 406-nucleotide ribosomal RNA is filed under the name uncultured bacterium. RNAcentral describes it as "partial 16S ribosomal RNA". It matches the Rfam family "Bacterial small subunit ribosomal RNA", at positions 29 to 525 of the family's 1533-position model. The record is from RNAcentral.
AUUGAACGCUGGCGGCAGGCCUAACACAUGCAAGUCGAGCGGAGCGGCGGACGGGUGAGUAAUGCCUAGGAAUCUGCCUGGUAGUGGGGGAUAACGUCCGGAAACGGGCGCUAAUACCGCAUACUAUCAGAUGAGCCUAGGUCGGAUUAGUUAGUUGGUGGGGAAAAGGCCAACCAGGGCGACGAUCCGUAACUGGUCUGAGAGGAUGAUCAGGCAACCUGAAACUGAGACACGGUCCAGCCCCCUAGGGGGGGCAGAGUGGGGGAAUAUUGGACAAGGGGCGAAAGCCUGUGCCAGCCAGGCGGCGUGUGUGAAGAAGGUUUUGGGAUUGGAAAGCCCUUUAAGUUGGGAGGCGUGACCAACAGAAUAAGCACCGGCUAACUGCGUGCAAGCAGCCGCGGUAAAC